RNAcentral lists this ribosomal RNA (451 nucleotides) under uncultured bacterium. Its description in RNAcentral is "partial 16S ribosomal RNA". It matches the Rfam family "Bacterial small subunit ribosomal RNA", at positions 28 to 507 of the family's 1533-position model. The record is from RNAcentral.
GAUGAACGCUGGCGGCGUGCCUAACACAUGCAAGUCGAGCGGCAGCGAGGGGUGCUUGCACCCUGUCGGCGAGCGGCGGACGGCUGAGUAACGCGUGGGAACGUGCCCCAAAGUGAGGAAUAACUGCCCGAAAGGGUAGCUAAUACCGCAUAUUAUCUUCGGAUCAAAGGAUUUAUCCGCUUUGGGAGCGGCUCGCGUCGGAUUAGGUAGUUGGUGAGGUAAUGGCUCACCAGGCCGACGAUCCGUAGCUGGUCUGAGAGGAUGACCAGCCAGACUGGAACUGAGACACGGUCCAGACUACUACGGGAGGCAGCAGUGAGGAAUCUUCCACAAUGGGCGAAAGCCUGAUGGAGCAACGCCGCGUGCAGGACGAAGGCCUUCGGGUUGUAAACUGCUUUUAUAAGUGAGGAAUAUGACGGUAACUUAUGAAUAAGGAUCGGCUAACUACGUG